Molecule: unclassified non-coding RNA, 267 nt
Filed under: air metagenome
Description: partial contains small subunit ribosomal RNA, internal transcribed spacer 1, and 5.8S ribosomal RNA
Rfam family: Eukaryotic small subunit ribosomal RNA (bases 1-46)
Source: RNAcentral
AAGUCGUAACAAGGUUUCCGUAGGUGAACCUGCGGAAGGAUCAUUAUUGAAUGAAUGUAGAGUCGGUUGUAGCUGGUCUUCCAAAGACAUGUGCACGCCUUCUCUUUCAUCCACACACCCCUGUGCACUUGUUAGACGGAUGAUUGUUUCCCUUUUAUUAGGGGACGGUUUCCGUCUGCUAACACAUAAAACCAUAUUAAUUAAAUCUGAAUGUAAUUGAUGUAACGCAUCUAAUACAAAGUUUCAACAACGGAUCUCUUGGCUCUC